RNAcentral lists this ribosomal RNA (454 nucleotides) under uncultured Thiobacillus sp. RNAcentral describes it as "bacterial SSU rRNA". It matches the Rfam family "Bacterial small subunit ribosomal RNA", at positions 923 to 1382 of the family's 1533-position model. Lineage: Bacteria; Pseudomonadati; Pseudomonadota; Betaproteobacteria; Nitrosomonadales; Thiobacillaceae. The record is from RNAcentral.
GCACAAGCGGUGGAUGAUGUGGUUUAAUUCGAUGCAACGCGAAAACCUUACCCACCUUUGACAUGUACGGAAUCCUUUAGAGAUAGAGGAGUGCUCGAAAGAGAACCGUAACACAGGUGCUGCAUGGCUGUCGUCAGCUCGUGUCGUGAGAUGUUGGGUUAAGUCCCGCAACGAGCGCAACCCUUAUCAUUAGUUGCUACGCAAGGGCACUCUAAUGAGACUGCCGGUGACAAACCGGAGGAAGGUGGGGAUGACGUCAAGUCCUCAUGGCCCUUAUGGGUAGGGCUUCACACGUCAUACAAUGGUCGGUACAGAGGGUUGCCAAGCCGCGAGGCGGAGCCAAUCCCACAAAGCCGAUCGUAGUCCGGAUUGUUCUCUGCAACUCGAGAGCAUGAAGUCGGAAUCGCUAGUAAUCGCAGGUCAGCAUACUGCGGUGAAUACGUUCCCGGGUCUU